Molecule: ribosomal RNA, 468 nt
Filed under: uncultured bacterium
Lineage: Bacteria
Description: partial 16S ribosomal RNA
Rfam family: Bacterial small subunit ribosomal RNA
Source: RNAcentral
GACGAACGCUGGCGGCGUGCUUAACACAUGCAAGUCGAACGGAAAGGCCCUGCUUUUGUGGGGUGCUCGAGUGGCGAACGGGUGAGUAACACGUGAGUAACCUGCCCUUGACUUUGGGAUAACUUCAGGAAACUGGGGCUAAUACCUGAUAUGAGCUCCUGCUGCAUGGUGGGGGUUGGAAAGUUUCGGCGGUUGGGGAUGGACUCGCGGCUUAUCAGCUUGUUGGUGGGGUAGUGGCUUACCAAGGCUUUGACGGGUAGCCGGCCUGAGAGGGUGACCGGCCACAUUGGGACUGAGAUACGGCCCAGAAUGCUACGGGAGGCAGCAGUGGGGAAUAUUGCACAAUGGGCGGAAGCCUGAUGCAGAAACGCAGCGUGCGGGAUGACGGCCUUCGGGUUGUAAACCGCUUUCGCCUGUGACGAAGCGUGAGUGACGGUAAUGGGUAAAGAAGCACCGGCUAACUACGUG